AUCGUUCAUCUCUCCAGUGGAGGGACGGAAGUAGAGAAAAACUCUCGAAGGAACGCGCC
This 59-nucleotide non-coding RNA is filed under the name Chroococcidiopsis thermalis. RNAcentral's name for it is "Glutamine-I sequence". It matches the Rfam family "Glutamine riboswitch aptamer (glnA leader)". The record is from RNAcentral. Lineage: Bacteria; Bacillati; Cyanobacteriota; Cyanophyceae; Chroococcidiopsidales; Chroococcidiopsidaceae. RNAcentral also lists the same sequence under 1 other name.